Molecule: ribosomal RNA, 254 nt
Filed under: uncultured bacterium
Lineage: Bacteria
Description: partial 16S ribosomal RNA
Rfam family: Bacterial small subunit ribosomal RNA
Source: RNAcentral
UACGUAGGGUGCAAGCGUUAUCCGGAAUUAUUGGGCGUAAAGAGCUCGUAGGCGGUCUGUCGCGUCGGUCGUGAAAACUUGGGGCUUAACCCUGAGCUUGCGGUCGAUACGGGCAUGACUGGAGUUCGGCAGGGGAGACUGGAAUUCCUGGUGUAGCGGUGAAAUGCGCAGAUAUCUGGAGGAAUACCGGUGGCGAAGGCGGCAUCCUGGACCGACAUUGACGCUGAUGAGCGAAAGCUAGGGGAGCAAACGGG